RNAcentral lists this microRNA (22 nucleotides) under Pristionchus pacificus. Its description in RNAcentral is "ppc-miR-8300-5p". Lineage: Eukaryota; Metazoa; Nematoda; Chromadorea; Rhabditida; Neodiplogasteridae. The record is from miRBase by way of RNAcentral.
UCCAGUAGUGUCGUGAACCAAA